ACUUGGUGAUGUGGGCAUUUACGGAACAGGUCCCUAAAGAGCUCCCAAGUCUAGAAAAAGAGUUCCCCAUCCAUCCGUGAGAAACUUGUGAUGUCUCUCCGAAGCU
Malania oleifera is the source of this 106-nucleotide small nucleolar RNA. The record is from RefSeq and is a predicted model, not a curated record. Lineage: Eukaryota; Viridiplantae; Streptophyta; Magnoliopsida; Santalales; Ximeniaceae.